Molecule: ribosomal RNA, 484 nt
Filed under: uncultured bacterium
Lineage: Bacteria
Description: partial 16S ribosomal RNA
Rfam family: Bacterial small subunit ribosomal RNA
Source: RNAcentral
AUUGAACGCUGGCGGCAUGCUUUACACAUGCAAGUCGAACGGCAGCGCGGGCUUCGGCCUGGCGGCGAGUGGCGAACGGGUGAGUAAUACAUCGGAACGUGCCCAGUAGUGGGGGAUAGCUCGGCGAAAGCCGGAUUAAUACCGCAUACGACCUGAGGGUGAAAGCGGGGGAUCUUUGGACCUCGCGCUAUUUGAGCGGCCGAUGGCAGAUUAGCUAGUUGGUGGGGUAAAGGCCUACCAAGGCGACGAUCUGUAGCUGGUCUGAGAGGGCGACCAGCCACACUGGGACUGAGACACGGCCCAGACUCCUACGGGAGGCAGCAGUGGGGAAUGUUGGACAAUGGGCGAAAGCCUGAUCCAGCAAUGCCGCGUGUGUGAUGAAGGCCUUCGGGUUGUAAAGCACUUUUGGCGGGAACGAAAAGGACUGUGCCAAUACCACGGUUCGAUGACGGUACCCGCAGAAUAAGCACCGGCUAACUACGUG